CUUCCUCCAGGUCCUUCGAGGAAGACAUAGGGGGCUUGUAAUGGGAUCCAUCAUACUUGGACCAAAAGGGCUGUAGUUGUUGCCCUGCGAUCCUUAAGGAGACGCAAGAAACUCACCUGGGAGAACACUUCUCACACCAAUAAAAUGGGUUAGUGGAUUUGUCCCCUUGGUGAAAAAGCAGGAGUGAUGACCGAAACCCUUGACAGCACAUAAAGCAUGGUGCUCAGCCACCCAGAUGGACGCUGGCCAGUAUGUGAGAUCAGCACAGACUGCAGAAUGUCGCCGCAUCAUGAAUGAGGACACUGCCCGGUGACCAGUCUCCAGGUUGGAAGAUUCCUCCCUUGUCCCUGCCUUUCCUAAAAAAAGAAACCAGCUCAUUGCAGCCUGAGGCUCUUUCUUUUAGAGGAUUCCUCCUUUCCUCUUCUGGAAGUUCGAGCGAUAGUCUUUUUAAGACUCAGAUAUACCUUUGACUCUGCUCUGCCUGCCUGUGCCCUGGGACCUGACCUCCAUGGCCUGCAUCUCUUGGGCUUUCUUGUCCUCUGGCUUCCAUUUGUCUUCAAUGGAUGUACCAGCAGGAAACCAGAGAUCCAGAGGAGAGAGCAGUUAGAAUGUUUACUCUGAUGGCUGCAGAUUUGGCAGUGGCUGCAUUCCUCAAUCUAUGGCCACAUCUCCUGGUGGGUGGCCUCUUUCCCAUGACGAUGGGCUCACUGGCUUCCACUAACACUGCUCCCUCCCCUUGUCCCUUUGUGCCUAGGGGAGGGGAAGUCUUCUCACUCUUGCUAAUUCCUGAGUACUUAACCAUUUAUUGUUGAGUCCAUUAAUCCUGCCAGCACCUGUGUCAACAGUCUUUCCAUUAAACUCGCUUCAGUUAAGCUUUGGAUGUA
Molecule: long non-coding RNA, 884 nt
Filed under: Equus asinus (donkey)
Lineage: Eukaryota; Metazoa; Chordata; Mammalia; Perissodactyla; Equidae
Description: lncRNA (ENSEASG00005027586.1)
Source: RNAcentral